Molecule: ribosomal RNA, 495 nt
Filed under: Toxocara canis (dog roundworm)
Lineage: Eukaryota; Metazoa; Nematoda; Chromadorea; Rhabditida; Toxocaridae
Description: partial 12S small subunit ribosomal RNA
Source: RNAcentral
UGUUCCAGAAUAAUCGGCUAGACUUUGUAAACUUGUACUCGAAUUGAGGUUGAACCUGGGCGAAUUGUAGUAUACUUUGAACUUUAAGGUAAAAUUAGAAGUUAUUAGUGUUUAUGCCUUGUGUUUUUAGAUUUGUUGAACGAGCCAGAUUAGUACCUGGUUAGACAAAAAUUAAAAGAGCAGGAGUAAAGUUAUAUUUAAACUGUAAGAAUAUUGGCAGGUUUUUAAAUUAUCUUUGGAGGUUGAGUAGUAAUUGAGAGCCCUCAUUAACAGCCCAUGUUAUAGGCGCAUGUAUGAUCGUUUAUUUUAUCCUUAGGGGUUGUAAUAUUAGUUUUGUUGCUGUAAAAAUAGAUAGAUACUUGGUUGAUAUGUGGGAUUUAAUUUGACCUACAAUAGCUUAUGUUGUGGACUUUAGUUGUAGUGACUAUUUGAAAUUGUAAAAGACAGUAAGUUCUUUUUUAUGUAGAACUGAAGUUUAUUUAGAGACGGUACAAA